CCGGUAAACGGCGGCCGUAACUAUAACGGUCCUAAGGUAGCGAAAUUCCUUGUCGGGUAAGUUCCGACCUGCACGAAUGGCGUAAUGAUGGCCAGGCUGUCUCCACCCGAGACUCAGUGAAAUUGAACUCGCUGUGAAGAUGCAGUGUACCCGCGGCAAGACGGAAAGACCCCGUGAACCUUUACUAUAGCUUGACACUGAACAUUGAGCCUUGAUGUGUAGGAUAGGUGGGAGGCUUUGAAGUGUGGACGCCAGUCUGCAUGGAGCCGACCUUGAAAUACCACCCUUUAAUGUUUGAUGUUCUAACGUUGGCCCGUUAUCCGGGUUGCGGACAGUGUCUGGUGGGUAGUUUGACUGGGGCGGUCUCCUCCUAAAGAGUAACGGAGGAGCACGAAGGUUGGCUAAUCCUGGUCGGACAUCAGGAGGUUAGUGCAAUGGCAUAAGCCAGCUUGACUGCGAGCGUGACGGCGCGAGCAGGUGCGAAAGCAGGUCAUAGUGAUCCGGUGGUUCUGAAUGGAAGGGCCAUCGCUCAACGGAUAAAAGGUACUCCGGGGAUAACAGGCUGAUACCGCCCAAGAGUUCAUAUCGACGGCGGUGUUUGGCACCUCGAUGUCG
RNAcentral lists this ribosomal RNA (615 nucleotides) under Escherichia coli. RNAcentral describes it as "partial 23S ribosomal RNA". It matches the Rfam family "Bacterial large subunit ribosomal RNA", at positions 1920 to 2534 of the family's 2925-position model. The record is from RNAcentral. Lineage: Bacteria; Pseudomonadati; Pseudomonadota; Gammaproteobacteria; Enterobacterales; Enterobacteriaceae.